GGCAACGCUGGCGGCAGGCCUAACACAUGCAAGUCGAACGGAUCCUUCGGGAUUAGUGGCAGACGGGUGAGUAACGCGUGGGAAGCUACCUUGUGGUAGGGAACAACAGUUGGAAACGACUGCUAAUACCCUAUGAGCCCUAUGGGGGAAAGAUUUAUCGCCAUGAGAUGUGCCCGCGUUAGAUUAGCUAGUUGGUAAGGUAAUGGCUUACCAAGGCGACGAUCUAUAGCUGGUCUGAGAGGAUGAUCAGCCACACUGGGACUGAGACACGGCCCAGACUCCUACGGGAGGCAGCAGUGGGGAAUAUUGGACAAUGGGGGCAACCCUGAUCCAGCCAUGCCGCGUGAGUGAUGACGGCCUUAGGGUUGUAAAGCUCUUUCAGCAGUGAAGAUAAUGACAUUAACUGCAGAAGAAGCCCCGGCUAACAUCGUGCCAGCAGCCGCGGUAAUACGAAGGGGGCUAGCGUUGUUCGGAAUCACUGGGCGUAAAGCGUACGUAGGCGGACUGAUCAGUCAGGGGUGAAAUCGGGGGGCUCACUCACGGAACUGCCUUUGAUACUGUCAGUCUUGAGAUCGAGAGAGGUGAGUGGAACUCCGAGUGUAGAGGUGAAAUUCGUAGAUAUUCGGAAGAACACCAGUGGCGAAGGCGGCUCACUGGCUCGAUACUGACGCUGAGGUACGGAAGCGUGGGGAGCAAACAGGAUUAGAUACCC
This 712-nucleotide ribosomal RNA is filed under the name Pseudovibrio denitrificans. RNAcentral describes it as "bacterial SSU rRNA". It matches the Rfam family "Bacterial small subunit ribosomal RNA", at positions 28 to 787 of the family's 1533-position model. The record is from RNAcentral. Lineage: Bacteria; Pseudomonadati; Pseudomonadota; Alphaproteobacteria; Hyphomicrobiales; Stappiaceae.